Molecule: long non-coding RNA, 1051 nt
Organism: Labeo rohita (rohu)
Lineage: Eukaryota; Metazoa; Chordata; Actinopteri; Cypriniformes; Cyprinidae
Exons: 4
Source: RefSeq, a predicted model, not a curated record
AUUUAAGGACCCUUAUUUUGAUGGGUGGUGACGUGUCUUGUGGUUUCUGGGUCCCCCUCACCCUGGCGUGUCCCUUUCUGUUCCCGGUUCCUGUUUGCUUCAGUUUAAUUAUAGUAGCGUUGGCGGCAUAGGCGGGUGGAAUAUUCGUGGCGGAGUGCGCUUUCAGUUACGGCGCUGUGAGACGGGUGAGAAUACCGGUCGGUAGAUUGAGCUGCAGCAUCUGCUGUGAGUAACCAUACAGCUUUACGCGUGGUGUUUGUUUAAUCCGAGAGUGAGGCGGAAUAUUAUUCUAAUUCCUAAGCCUUAUUCCUAGUUGACAACAGUACAUGUGACGCCGUUGCUGUUUUGCUUAUUGGUAUUGAGGAUCCUUUGCUUGCGACUCGGCUGCCUGGUGGGCCGUCCGUGUGCUGAUCAAUGGUUUAUUAUUUUUAUUUUUGAUUGCUUUCAAGUUUUGUUUGUAUUGAAUUGUCAUUAUUUGUAGACUGUUUUUGGUUUGGCUUGUGCAUUAUGUGGUGAUGUUGCAAGUAUUUGAGUUAUUUCUUUUCUGGCUGUGAUAAUUUGGUGCGUUUAGGCACCGGUAUCAGUUGUAUACAGGGCUGUGAGAAGACUUGAGUGUCUUAGUCCAUCAACUAUUGACCCUGUAAAAUUCUUUUAAUUUAUUUUUUUUCGAUUAUUGUUUAGUGUGGAUUGUGUAAACCUUGUUUAUUUUUGUGUGUGUGUUUGUUGUUGUGUUUUAUUUUUUUGCAGGAGCCAGGCACAGUGCAGAACGGGGGAGGCCAGCUGCAUUUGUUUGGGGGUGUGUUUCACCGAGUGCAGGUGUGUCAACACAAUUUCUUUGCAGUGGGUGAAUAGUGUUUGAUUUGAUAUGAAUUUGGGUGGGUUUUUGAAGAUUCCCUGAACUGCAGCCGGCCUGCCUUGUUCCUGCUAGUCUCUGACCCCAGAAGAGUAUAUCUACAAAAUAAUUGUUGUUUAUUGUUUUUGUGUUCGUUGGAAAAUAGUAUUUUAUUGUUGACCUUUUAAUAAUAAAAUAUAUAUAUAUUUUGUAUUUGCA